CAGAAAGACCCUAUGAAGCUUUACUGUAACUUGAAAUUGAAAUUGGACUUUAGUCGCGCAGUAUAGGUGGGAGGCGUUGAAGAUAAUCUUGCGGGAAUAUCGGAGCUAUCAGUGAGAUACCACUCUUCUAAUGUUAGAUUUCUAACUUUGAACCAUUAUCUGGUCAAAGGACAGUUUCAGGCGGGCAGUUUGACUGGGGCGGUCGCCUCCCAAAUGGUAACGGAGGCGUACAAAGGUUUCCUCUGAACGGUUAGAAAUCGUAUCUAGAGUGUAAAGGCAUAAGGAAGCUUGACUGUGAGACCUACAAGUCGAGCAGGGACGAAAGUCGGUCUUAGUGAUCUGACGGUACUGAGUGGAAAGGCCGUCACUCAACGGAUAAAAGUUACUCUAGGGAUAACAGGCUGA
This 405-nucleotide ribosomal RNA is filed under the name Chaetoceros sp. Its description in RNAcentral is "partial large subunit ribosomal RNA". It matches the Rfam family "Bacterial large subunit ribosomal RNA", at positions 2081 to 2485 of the family's 2925-position model. The record is from RNAcentral. Lineage: Eukaryota; Bacillariophyta; Thalassiosirophyceae; Chaetocerotales; Chaetocerotaceae.